This 74-nucleotide transfer RNA is filed under the name Planctomycetota bacterium. Its description in RNAcentral is "tRNA-Arg". It matches the Rfam family "tRNA". From Rfam's summary of the family: Transfer RNA (tRNA) molecules are approximately 80 nucleotides in length. Their secondary structure includes four short double-helical elements and three loops (D, anti-codon, and T loops). The record is from RNAcentral. Lineage: Bacteria; Pseudomonadati; Planctomycetota.
GCGCCCGUAGCUCAGGUGGAUAGAGCACCGGUUUCCUAAACCGGGGGUCGUGGGUUCGAGUCCCUCCGGGCGUA